CCUACGGGGGGCUGCAGUGGGGAAUAUUGGACAAUGGGGGCAACCCUGAUCCAGCCAUGCCGCGUGUGUGAAGAAGGCCCUCGGGGUGUAAAGCACUUUCAGUGAGGAAGAACGCCUGGUGGUUAAUACCCAUCAGGAAAGACAUCACUCACAGAAGAAGCACCGGCUAACUCCGUGCCAGCAGCCGCGGUAAUACGGAGGGUGCGAGCGUUAAUCGGAAUUACUGGGCGUAAAGCGCGCGUAGGUGGCUUGAUAAGCCGGUUGUGAAAGCCCCGGGCUCAACCUGGGAACGGCAUCCGGAACUGUCAAGCUAGAGUGCAGGAGAGGAAGGUAGAAUUCCCGGUGUAGCGGUGAAAUGCGUAGAGAUCGGGAGGAAUACCAGUUGCGAAGGCGGCCUUCUGGAGUGAAACUGACACUGAGGUGCGAAAGCGUGGGUAGCAAACAGGAUUAGAUACCCCAGUAGUC
RNAcentral lists this ribosomal RNA (465 nucleotides) under Vreelandella stevensii. RNAcentral's name for it is "partial 16S ribosomal RNA". It matches the Rfam family "Bacterial small subunit ribosomal RNA", at positions 338 to 795 of the family's 1533-position model. Lineage: Bacteria; Pseudomonadati; Pseudomonadota; Gammaproteobacteria; Oceanospirillales; Halomonadaceae. The record is from RNAcentral.